UCAAGCGUUUAAGGGCGUGUAGUGGAUGCCUUGGCACUGAAAGCCGAUGAAGGACGUGAUAUACUGCGAUAAGUUUCGGGGAGCUGUAUGUAAGUUUUGAUCCGAAAAUUUCCGAAUGGGGAAACCCACCACUUUAUGUGGUACUUUAAACUGAAUACAUAGGUUUAAAGAGACAACCUGGAGAACUGAAACAUCUAAGUAACCAGAGGAAAAGAAAUCAAUUGAGAUUCCGUUAGUAGUGGCGAGCGAACGCGGACUAGGCCAGUAGUUUUGUUAAAAAAAUUUGAAUAGUUUGGAAAUGCUAACCAUAGAGGGUGAUAGUCCCGUAUGAGUAAUGUUUAACAAAAUUCUUGAGUAAAGCGGGACACGUGAAAUCCUGCUCGAAUAUAGGGGGACCACCCUCUAAGCCUAAAUACUCUUCAGUGACCGAUAGUGAACUAGUACCGUGAGGGAAAGGUGAAAAGAACCCCUAUUAGGGGAGUGAAAUAGAACCUGAAACUGCAUGCCUACAAUCAGUCGAAGCUCUUUUUAGAGUGACGGCGUACCUUUUGUAUAAUGGGUCAGUGACUUAAUUUAUUAAGCAAGCUUAAGCCAUCUAGGUGUAGGCGCAGCGAAAGCAAGUCUUAAUAGGGCGAUUAGUUUAAUGAAUUAGACCCGAAAACGAAUGAGCUUACCAUGAGCAGGUUGAAAGUUGGGUAACACCAACCGGAGGACCGAACCAGUUGACGUUGAAAAGUCUUUGGAUGACUUGUGGUAAGGGGUGAAAGGCCAACCAAAUUCGUAGAUAGCUGGUUUUCCGCGAAAACUAUUUAGGUAGUGCGUUGAAUAAAUAGAUGUUUAGAGGUAGAGCACUAAAUGGGCUAGGGGGAAGAGAUUCUUACCAAACCUAAUAAAACUCCGAAUGCUAGACAUUGUUCUUCAACAGACAGACUGUGGGUGCUAAGGUCCAUGGUCGAGAGGGAAAGAGCCCAGACCACCAGAUAAGGUCCCCAAAUUAUGAUUAAGUGUGAAAGGAUGUGGAAAUUCCUUAACAGCCGGGAGGUUGGCUUAGAAGCAGCCAUCCUUUAAAGAUAGCGUAACAGCUCACCGGUCUAAUAGAGUUUCUGCGCCGAAGAUGUAACGGGGCUAAAAUCAUAUACCGAAUCUGUGGGUUUAUAAAACUUUCGAGUUUUAUAAGCGGUAGCGGAACGUUCUGUAAGCCUGUGAAGGGAUACCCGUGAGGGAUCCUGGAGGUAUCAGAAGUGCGAAUGCUGACAUAAGUAACGAUAAAAGAAGUGAAAAACUUCUUCGCCGAAAAUCCAAGGGUUUCUGCGCAAGGUUAAUCCGCGCAGAGUUAGUCGGCACCUAAGGCGAGGGCGAAAGCCGUAGUCGAUGGAAAUAAGGUUAAUAUUCCUUAACCAGAUGGUAGUGACGGAUCUUGUAAGUUGUGUACUCUUAAUGGAUUGAGUAUGCCGCGAAAAGGUUCCAAGAAAUAGCUCCAUCAUUAGACCGUACCCUAAACCGACACAGGUGGAUUAAUAGAGUAUAUUUAGGCGCUUGAGAGAAUGAUGUUGAAGGAACUCGGCAAAAUGCUUCCGUAACUUCGGGAUAAGGAAGACCUGUUUUUAGGCAACUAGAGAUGGGUGGCACAAGCCAGGGAGAAGCGACUGUUUAUCAAAAACACAGGGCUCUGCUAACACGUAAGUGGAUGUAUAGGGUCUGACGCCUGCCCGGUGCUGGAAGGUUAAUGCGGUUGGUGCAAGCUAACUUCUGAAGCCCCAGUAAACGGCGGCCGUAACUAUAACGGUCCUAAGGUAGCGAAAUUCCUUGUCGGGUAAGUUCCGACCUGCA
This 1830-nucleotide ribosomal RNA is filed under the name marine metagenome. RNAcentral's name for it is "bacterial LSU rRNA". It matches the Rfam family "Bacterial large subunit ribosomal RNA", at positions 1 to 1992 of the family's 2925-position model. The record is from RNAcentral.